This 6469-nucleotide long non-coding RNA is filed under the name Mytilus galloprovincialis (Mediterranean mussel). The record is from RNAcentral. Lineage: Eukaryota; Metazoa; Mollusca; Bivalvia; Mytilida; Mytilidae.
CUUGUUUAUUAGUUACACCUUUUUCCUUCCUGGUUACAAUAUCUGAACUAAUAACGUCCAUUUUGUUAUAAUUACAACUUGCAAUUCAGGUAAAUAUUAGGUAAAUAUUUAUUUCUAUCAAUCUGACAUGUAAACAUGUGCUUUUAAAAUGCAUUUACAAUGUUGCGAUGGUUACAUAUUUAUAUUUAAAUUCGUGAUUUGAGAGACGAUCUUAAGAAUUAUGGAAUAACAGGUUUUAUAACAAACUGAAACAAAAAAUAUGAAACGAUUUUAUCGAGGAAACUAAUAACUUAAUUUAUAACAGAGCAAUUUACAAACAACAAUAAUAACAGAACUUUUCAAAUGACAACAACUGAAUUAUCAAAGGUGUGAAUAUUUCAAAGAGCAGUCACAAUGAAUAAACACGUAUCGGUAAGCCGAUAUAUGAAGAUCAACUUCUUUCUACUUUAUUUGUUUAAACCUAUUGUUCAUGGUUCACUAUAAGUCUGUCAAAUUGCGGUUUGGACCAUAGGUAUGCGUCUGAAUAAGGAAGGUAAGCUAUACUACUGCUUUCUUUAAAAAAAGAAAAGCAAUACAUGAACCCACAACUGCUGACUGCGGUCAACAACAUUAGUUGAUGUGAUUUGCUUUUGAUUUGAACAAAUUUACUGUGAAUGAGAUAUUGAUCAAUAUUAAUGAGUUUUGUUGUCACAUCAUUAUUGAAAAUAUGUAAUAGUGGGUAGAUUAUUGCACAUGUGAAUUAAUUUACUUAAUUUUUACUUUGUGUUUUAUGUACAAAUUGCAAUUCCCAAUUUUAUGCAAACUCUAGUGACAGGGAAAUUUUAUUGACUCUGCACAUACGCUAAUCUCAGUUGCUUUUUUUGUUUAAUAUUUUGACUUUUAUAAAUUGAUAUCGAUUAAAUUGUUUCCUGGAAGUUUUUAAUUAUCCUGCAUAAUUAUUUGAUGUCGUGACAAUCAUACACAUUUAUUUGUAAUGUAACACGAGGACAUAUAGAUAAAUAAAUUUAAAGUUCUGGACCUCAGAUUUGAAUAUGGUUUAGGUUAUUGUCAAAUACCUUGAUAUAUGACUUAUAAUAUCUACUAUAAGAUUGUUCUGUGAAUCUUCAAAAAAAAGUAAACCAAAUAAAUAUAGAAAAGAAGUUGUGUGAUUUCGAUGAGAUUCUUUCACAAGAACCUUAUAACACAAAAAUUAACAGCUAUAAUUUUCAACACCUUAUAAAAAAAAAACAUAGCCCCUACACAGUCAGCUACAAUAGGCCUUGAAAAGAAAUGUAAACACUUAGAAAAGAACAUCACAAAUACGAAAUUUAAAUAUGAGUUUAUGAUAUAAAAAUGUUUUAAUGAAAAAAUGAUGAAUUAACACUUUUAAAGAAUACAUCGAUAAAUAGUUCCCUUUUGGAACCUUAUUUCAUGUUAUAGAAGUGACCAAAGUAUCUGGGAUGUACACGUCCGUAAUUAUCCACUAAUUUAUUUCAGUACAAUAACAAAGCGACAUUUCAAGAAAGCCGGUCCGUAGUGCGCAUGCGUCACUGGUCAUAUGAAUUCGAUAUAUAGAAGUCAACGGGAAAUAUAUUUUCAAUCGACGAUUUAAACAUUUCUUAGAAAAAAAAUGUUUCACCUUGUUUGCAUUUGUUCUUCAUAUUUUAGCAAAAGGGUAAUAUUUUUUUUUUUUCGAUUUUCUUUCUUGAUACAAUUUACUUUAGUAACAGUCAUUGUUACAAAUACUUACAUGUAAGUACUGAUAACCAGAAGGGCACAUCUUUAAAAAUAUUUUAAAAUUACUAAAUAAAGUACAUUUAUUGACCUUGUAUCAUAAAAGUAGAAAGAUUGCAGAAUCUUUUGAUAUAAGUUCGACAUUAAAAAUAUAUUACUCUUGAUACAUCUUUAAUAAAAAAUGAAUAUUACUCAAUAUUCAUGACGAGCUCAGAUUAAUGUAAAAUGAUAUACCGAGCACUAGAUGUCUGCAGCGCGUAUAUAUCAUUAUACUCAAAAAUAUAUUUUUCAUAUUUAAAAAUUAAAAUUUAUAAUGUUUUAAUUGGUAUUGUUUAAUUUUUUUACUGUACACGUUAUCUUCGUGAAAACUUAAUUAUAUACACAUGUAUAUUAUAUUCGAUAAAUAAAUAAAUAUUUAAAAACAAUGGUUUAAAAUUGAAAUUACAAUGUAAUCGUGCACUAUCAUGUUCAAUUAAAAAAAACAACUUUAAAUAAUUAUAGACAAUAUGUUUCAAAUUUAUUUACUGAACAUUUAUAAGUAUACGAGCUUACUAUACAAAUAUUCGAAAGUAGGUAAUUAAUAGUAAAAUCCUCUGAAAGGUCACAACCGUCAAAACAAUAAGUUAAGAUUCAUUAAUUAAAAAGAAGUAAAGAAAGCAGGUACAUGAGGAUAUUCUUAACAAGAGUAGUGGUCGACUCUGGUAUAAGGUUGUAUCAAUAUCAAUAAUUCAUCAUCAUAUAUUUAUAUAAGGCCAAGAGAUUCAGUGUACGAAACAAUGAAACAAGAAUAACAGUAAUAUAUUUUUCUCGAUAUGAUGGCAAAACAGUACUGUAAAUUGUUAUAAUAAUAACGUGGAGCUUCUCUGUACCGGUUAUACAAUAUAUAACGUUUCCUUCAAAGAUAUGAGAGUUUAGUAAAAACAAACGAAAUAUUUUGUGAUAGAAUAAUAAAGGAUAUCGGUAUCAACCCAUGACAGAAAUAUAUAUCUUGAUGACAAAUUAUUCUUGAAAGAAUAAAAAAAAUAAGUACAGCAUUACUCUUCACAAAAGAAGAAUGACCAGUGCUGUAUCCUUUCUUUCAAAUUAAACACAGAAUAUAGUGCGUGUGUCAGUUAUUACUUUGUAGCAUGAUUAAAGAGAUCACUUUUGGUGUGCUUUAGAUGAAAUGGUUGACCAGUUUAGAAUACCCUUGAUCUGAACAUGGAAGUAAAAUGUCAAUAUAACACUUCCAUGAUCUGUACAUAGUAUGCGGUAGUUGCAUUGUCCACUGUAAUAUUGUAAAGUAAGACGUUGAUAACCUCCCGCGGAGUACAUGUAUGAUAGGAGAUAAACAACUUGUAAAUAGUCGAUCGAUACAAUAUUGAUACUUUUUGCUAGAAUAUAUUCUCUAAGAACCGAUCUCAUAUUUGUGCAAUGAUAAUGUGAGUUUGUUUAUUUUCGUUCUCAUCUAUGCAUAUUUAAGACUGUUGUGCGGACAUAGCGAGUUUAUUUCAAAAAGUUUUUAUUACGCCAUAUUUUUAUAAAGACAAUUUAGUUAACAAUCUCGUAUUGGUGCUUUUGGCAAAGACCCCCUCUUUUUUCUCAUGGAAACAAUUUGUAUUUUAAUUUUAUUCUAUAUGUCAACUAAUUAACUUAUUUGCCAUGCAUGGCGUUGUCAGUAUUUUAAAGGUUUUUUUUCGACUUGUUUGUCAUGAGUGUCCCCUUGGUGUCUGCAGCCUCUGUUUUGAAAGAUUGACCCGACCAACGGACUACGCCAUCAAAAUAAGAAUAUAAAAUAUGAUUGAUCAUUUUAUAUCAAUCAACGAAGAAUCUUGGCUAUUCUUUAUGACCAACACUAGGCUUCUUUAUGUCAUUCUCUAUAGGAGUACUUAGUACUGAGUUCAAACGUAUUGUUCCAACUUCUCUUGUAUCCCCACAACCCUUUUAAGUAGAUUUUGCGCACUAGUAAUUCACAACUUGAGUUCAUAGCUUACAAGUUAUUAAAGUUUGAAAUUUUAUUAAGUAUUGUACUUUUAGGUAUAGGACUUGAAUAACUUCAGUUUGCGUUCAUGUCAGAAAAAAACGAGCCGCGUCUGUACGGGCUAUCACAAGACAACCAUUUCUUGUCGUAAGCAUUACUUUCUUUACGUGUAUAGACAUUUAAUUGAUAACUAUUCAUAAUAUUACAAUGGGAUUGAAUUGUAAUUAGCCUAACGUCCUAUGGUUCCUUUGUUAACAUAUAGUAUGGAUUGGGUCAAAAUAAUUGUUGUAGAGAAAAAACAACUUAUUCUUUAAAUGCAACUUAUGUUUAUGUACGAAUAAUAUGACCGAAUUCUGUGAUUAUGUAUAUUCGUUCCAAGCCAGGACCAUGUAGACUGAGUAUUGCCAUAUCUAGGCGUUAUUUUGGUUAUUUCUGUCAUUUGGUUUGCUGUCUUAUUGCCGUUCACAUCAUCUUUUAUUUAUAACUCUCAAUUAAAACACAUUGAUGUUAUGCUUGUGACGUGACGACUUUCAAAGUGAUGAAUGUUGCUCGAGUAAACGAUUGCCGAUUUAUCGAAUGAGCAAAAGAAUGGAAGAGCAAUAUUUAUUUAACUGGCAAAACUUUCAUUAUCAAAGAUUCAAAUUACGAAAAGAAAAAAGACAAAAAACCGACCUACAAUUAUUACAAGCGAAAUGUUAAGUGGUAUUAACACACACCCAGAUUUUUUAAACAAAUCCCCAUCAUUCCUAAAAAAAAAAUGAAAAUAAAAAAUCUAAUUAAAAAAAUAAUAAUAUAAAACUUAAAACAAAAGACACGUUGUUAAUUGUAACAACCAGCUAACGUAUAUAAACUGAAAUAAAAUAGAGAAUGGAAACAGGGAAUUUGUCAAAGGGACAGCAGCUGUUAUAGAUCAUUCAUAAGCGUGAAUGGGUUUACGAUUUUUUUUAGAAAACUUGGAUGUUAUGCGUUUACUUUCUACAUUGGUUAAGUAUAGGGGGAGGGUUUGAGAUCUCACAAUCAUGUUUAACCCGCCGCAUUUUUGCGCCUGUCAAGUCAGGAGCCUCUGGCCUUUGUUAGUCUUGUAUUAUUUAAUUUAGUUUCUUGUGUACAAUUUGGAAAUUAGUAUGCUUCAUUAUCACUGGACUAGUAAUAUAUUUGUUUAAGGGCCAGCUGAAGGACGCCUCGGGUGCGGAAUUUCGCUACAUUGAAGACCUGUUGGUGACCUUCUGCUGCUGUUUUUAUUUGGGUCGGUUGUUGUCUCUUUACACAUUCCCAUUUCCAUUCUCAAUUUUAUAUCCAAAAUGUUAACAUAGUCGGUUUUCGAUAUAUUAUCAAUUUCCAUAAUAUAAUCAGAACAUUUAUUGUGUAUGUUUAUAUCAUACAUUUUAAGAUAAGAGACAAAAAGUACAAGGUGCUAAUUGCCAGACCUCGAUAUUUACCACACACGCUGGGAUGGAUUGAUAACAAUGUAUGCUAGAGUUAUCAGUCCUUGAAAUAAAUUUAUUGACAAGAUUGGAUUACCUCCCUUAAACCGGACUAAUUCUUGGCAAUGAUGUCUUCAAAGGGUUAUUUAUUGAUAUACAAUAUUGACACAUCUUGCUUUCAUAUUCACACUUGCACCCAAAAAAGACCGGAUUCCAUAUGGAUUUUUACUUUACACUUAAACGGUUUGUUCAUACUAUACCAAAAUAUCCAAUGAAUCAUAUUUCUUAUCUAUAACAUUGAAUUAAUGAUAAUAAAGUCAAAGUCAAAUCAAGUUUAGCUCAGUUUGAAUCUUCACAAGGCGAUCAACCACGAAUACGAGACACCUCAUGAAAAUCAGAAUAUGUUCAUGUUAUGCUAAAUUUCUAAGUAACUUCAUACGUAUAUUACAAUCUGUUUUAGUUAUGAUAUGUUUGAUAUGUAUCUAUCUAUACUUAUAGAAAUGAAUAUUUGUUUUCUCCAAUCAAAUUAAAAAAGUACAAUUAUUUGUAUUUUAUUUAAAUUGUAUUAGUUGCUUUCUUAUUAGAAUUACGUGUAAGAAGCUGAACUGUUCUUGAUUCUACAUCAUCAUACAAAUUCACUUGACAUUUUUCCGUUUCACUUUGUCUUUUUGUUUUGGCUUUUUAAUGCGAAUUGCUACGUUGAUUUUUCGACACUUCUAAUAUUUAAGCUUUCAUUAGGAGGGAUUAAGAAACUAUUUAAGAAACUUGUACACUUUGGAAGAAUGUAGCGUAACACUGAUGUGAGCACGAAAUAGAUUUGAGAAAAAAACGAGAAAAACUGUCACUGCUACCAAAUCAAUAUCAAAUUUGGACAAUACGGACCUUUGAUGAAGAGAACAAUGAAACUAAAUGACGAAUCUCGCGAUAUUGCCCUGUCCCGUAGUUAUAUAUGUUAUAUCUUUGUAUCUUACGAAUGCAAAAGUAUAAUUACUUUCUUCCAUAUUUUUAAAAUGGAACACAUUGUCUAUUACAGAAGGUUGAAGUAAGCAAAUUGAACAAACAACUUAACAAGAAAUGUGGAAGUUUCAUCGUAUCUGUGGUAAAAACAUUUCUCUGGAAAACAAUUGUACCACUGCAAAGCGAUAAGAUCCAACCAAAACAAUUGGUAAUGGUAUUUGUUUUACCAACACACCAUUAGUGAAUGGCAAAGUUUAUGAAAUACAAGUAGACGAGCUAGUUACCAAAUUGAGUUUAUCACUUAUCUUAGGUACUUUUGUUAUCAUACUUUACAAACUAAUAAUAAUGUUAUUGAAAUGACCGAACCAAACACUACUAUCAAGUAAAAGGUUGAUAGAAUCGCUAUUCAAACAAA